Molecule: ribosomal RNA, 414 nt
Filed under: uncultured bacterium
Lineage: Bacteria
Description: bacterial SSU rRNA
Rfam family: Bacterial small subunit ribosomal RNA
Source: RNAcentral
CCCUACCGGCCGGGGACAACACGUCCAAAGGGGUGCUAAUACCGGAUACGAAGUCUGUGCCGCAUGGUACGGAUUUGAAAGAUGGCCUCUAUUUAUAAGCUAUCGCCGGGGGAUGGGCCUGCGUCCGAUUAGCUGGUUGGUGGGUAACGGCCUACCAAGGCGACGAUCGGUAGCCGGUCUGAGAGGAUGAACGGCCACAUUGGGACUGAGACACGGCCCAGACUCCUACGGGAGGCAGCAGUGGGGAAUCUUCCGCAAUGGGCGCAAGCCUGACGGAGCAACGCCGACCGUGAGUGAGGAAGUUCUUCGGAACGUAAAGCUCUGUUGUUCCUGACGAACCUCCCCUUUAUCAACAACGGAGGGGACUGACGGUAGGAACGAGGAAGCCACGGCUAACUACGUGCCAGCAGCCGC